CACACAGAAAGUGGGACGGGGUUACCCAAAGUAUCCUUAUUGGAUGGGGGGGGGGGAGUAAUGUCCCCUACUAGAAAGGAGAGGGCAAGGCUGGUGCCAGCCGCCGUGGUAAAACCAGCUCUUCAAGUGGUCGGGAUGAUUAUUGGGCUUAAAGUGUCCGUAGCCGGUUUAGUAAGUUCCUGGUAAAAUCGAGUAGUUUAACUAUUUGUAUGCUAGGAAUACUGCUAUACUAGAGGGGGGGAGAGGUCUGAGGUACUAUAGGGGUAGGGGUGAAAUCUUAUAAUCUUUGUAGGACCACCAGUGGCGAAGGCGUCAGAUUGGAACGUGCCUGACGGUGAGGGACGAAAGCCAGGGGAGCGAACCGGAUUAAAUACCCGGGUAGUCCUGGCCGUAAACGAUGCAUACUAGGGGAUGGCCGGGCCAUGAGCCGGUUCAGUGCCGUAGGAAAGCCGUUAAGUGUGCCGCCUGGAAAGUACGGUCGCAGGGUUAAAACUUAAGGGAAUUGGGGG
Molecule: ribosomal RNA, 509 nt
Filed under: uncultured archaeon
Lineage: Archaea
Description: partial 16S ribosomal RNA
Rfam family: Archaeal small subunit ribosomal RNA
Source: RNAcentral